ACAUACGACCAUACCCACUGGAAUAUACGGGAUCCCGUCCGCUCUCCCCUAGUCAAACCAGUGAGGGCCGAACUAGUACUCAGGUGGGUGACCACUGGGGAAUCCUCGGUGUUGUAUGUGUUU
RNAcentral lists this ribosomal RNA (123 nucleotides) under Pyricularia oryzae. Lineage: Eukaryota; Fungi; Ascomycota; Sordariomycetes; Magnaporthales; Pyriculariaceae. The record is from RNAcentral.